AAUUGAUGAGUUUGAGAUAGAAUAUGACACAUCUCCUCUUAUAUUAGAUCCCUCUCUAAAAUAACAGAUCCUCUGCCCUAUCUCUAAAAAACCGAUACUCUUCUUCUUUCUCCCUCACAUCAAAACUUUUCCAGCCACCAUGUAGCUUCUGGAACUGGUGGUGCGAAACUCCUUUUCCACCUCUAAUCUCUUUUGAGGUUGACACCCACUCCACCCUUCACCCUCUCUGGGUUGCAUCAGAUUUGAUUUCUUCUUCUCUAGUUUGGUUCUGGCGACGGUCGCUCCAGGAGGAUCGUCAAUCGACUGCUUUAGAUCCGAAGUCGUGAUCUUUUCCCAUCCUUUGGUUGGUUUAUUCUUGUUGACUGUUUUAUGCUGUAACUCGGUUGCAGUGCUCUCCUAGGUGGCACUUUCGACGUUUGUGGAAGCUCAUUCUCUAAUGGGUUUACUGCAAGUUUGUAUUUCUGGUACAAAGUUGAUAUCUUGAGUUUUUGAUUCUCUUAUUGGCUUCAAAUCUGUUGAGAUCUGCAAAUUUCAAAAUUUAAGAUUUGCCUCUUUGUAAUGACACUAACUUAAUAUCCACAUCAGUCUUGAAAUUGAUGUGAGAUUGUUUUCAUAUCUGCAUCAUUCUAUUUGAUGUUGGAUUGUUGCUGGGUUUUUUCAAGAGGUUUUUGGUUCGUGAAUCAGUCUGUGGCGGUUAGUUCAUACAUUAUGCUGAAAAGUGAAUGCUCACACUAGACUAUUUUUUACUUUUUGGUUUCGCGCCCAUAAACGGGUUCGUCGGAUACUGUAUGUCGUGUGUGCUCUUUUACUUUAGUUAUUUUUAAAAAAACCACUUUGAUGUAUUUGAUUUAUUUGCAUACCCUUCCGUGAUGGUUUCGUGGUUUGACUAGGUUUGGUUUAUGUCUCUCAGGACUUUGUAAUUUUUUGAUUUCGGUAAGUUGGUGUGUUUUGGUUUUUUGACCUUGUCUUUUUUUCUUCUAAAUAAAAUUCUUAAAUUAAAUAUUGAAUUUCAUUUGAUUGGAUUUUUUUUUAAAAUAACCAAAUUUUUAAAAAAAAAUCGAAAAUAACCAAGUUUGUAGAGGAUGCGCCAGAUGAAUUGGCACACCCCCCAAACCAGUAAGAGGAGGCGCCAGAUGCAUUGGCGCACAUGCAUUGGGCCUCAUGAAGAGACGCCAAUGCUUGUGGCCCCUGCAUGGCCCUCCAAGAGGAGGCGACAAUGCCUCUGGCGCCUGUGUGUGUUUUGUGUGCUGGCGCUAAUGGUCCUGGCGCCUGUGUGUAAUGUUCAUGUGGACGCCAUUUCAACUGGCGGCCACGUGUUUUUUCCAAUACAUCUUCCGUCUCUAUAAAUACCAUGUCUUGCAUACAAUUAUUUUCACUCAAAUUCAUCUCAUAGUCUAGUUCAUUCAUCAAUUUCAAUUUUCUUUGUUUCAACAAUGUCUGCAUACAUUCAGAAACGAAAUGUUGAUGUAAUAUUUUCUGCCGUUGCGGCUCCGAUACAGGUUCGACUUUGGAACACAGAUACGUUUGAACAUCUUAAUCGGAUGUUGCACAGUUGGUUAGAGGGAGAAAUUGGAGAGGGUGAACGGAUUAGAAGAAUACAAUGGCUUGUGUCCACGUUCAACCAAAACGGAGAAGUGCACGAAUGGGUGGAUAUUAAGACCGACCAAGACGCUCGUAGGAUGAUGCAUUACAUGUUCAAAAUUGUUUUGAUGGUUGUAAUCGCAUAGUUUUUGUAUUCUAGUUGUUUUAAUUGUUUGUGUUAUUUUAAUGGGUGGAUAUUAAGACCGACCAAGACGCUCGUAGGAUGAUGCAUUACAUGUUCAAAAUUGUUUUGAUGGUUGUAAUCGCAUAGUUUUUGUAUUCUAGUUGUUUUAAUUGUUUGUGUUAUUUUUUAAGAACAACUGUCUUUUCGUCACAGACGUCUACUAUGAAGUAAAUUUAGUUGUCCAUACAUUGCAACAAAGGUACUUUGAAAUAAAUUUAGUUUUCCAUAUAUAGCAAUAGAGGUAC
This 2010-nucleotide long non-coding RNA is filed under the name Lathyrus oleraceus (garden pea). Its description in RNAcentral is "Pisum sativum (pea) long non-coding RNA (PSAT_LNC033402)". The record is from RNAcentral. Lineage: Eukaryota; Viridiplantae; Streptophyta; Magnoliopsida; Fabales; Fabaceae.